This 68-nucleotide transfer RNA is filed under the name Olavius algarvensis. Lineage: Eukaryota; Metazoa; Annelida; Clitellata; Tubificida; Naididae. The record is from RNAcentral.
UAUAAUAUAGUGUUAUGUACACAAUAGGCCUUGAACCUAUAAAUCUAGACUCAUCUCUAGUAUUAUAU